This 585-nucleotide ribosomal RNA is filed under the name Bacillus pumilus. RNAcentral describes it as "bacterial SSU rRNA". It matches the Rfam family "Bacterial small subunit ribosomal RNA", at positions 173 to 747 of the family's 1533-position model. Lineage: Bacteria; Bacillati; Bacillota; Bacilli; Caryophanales; Bacillaceae. The record is from RNAcentral.
UUCCUUGAACCGCAUGGUUCAAGGAUGAAAGACGGUUUCGGCUGUCACUUACAGAUGGACCCGCGGCGCAUUAGCUAGUUGGUGGGGUAAUGGCUCACCAAGGCGACGAUGCGUAGCCGACCUGAGAGGGUGAUCGGCCACACUGGGACUGAGACACGGCCCAGACUCCUACGGGAGGCAGCAGUAGGGAAUCUUCCGCAAUGGACGAAAGUCUGACGGAGCAACGCCGCGUGAGUGAUGAAGGUUUUCGGAUCGUAAAGCUCUGUUGUUAGGGAAGAACAAGUGCGAGAGUAACUGCUCGCACCUUGACGGUACCUAACCAGAAAGCCACGGCUAACUACGUGCCAGCAGCCGCGGUAAUACGUAGGUGGCAAGCGUUGUCCGGAAUUAUUGGGCGUAAAGGGCUCGCAGGCGGUUUCUUAAGUCUGAUGUGAAAGCCCCCGGCUCAACCGGGGAGGGUCAUUGGAAACUGGGAAACUUGAGUGCAGAAGAGGAGAGUGGAAUUCCACGUGUAGCGGUGAAAUGCGUAGAGAUGUGGAGGAACACCAGUGGCGAAGGCGACUCUCUGGUCUGUAACUGACCGCU